Molecule: ribosomal RNA, 379 nt
Filed under: uncultured cyanobacterium
Lineage: Bacteria; Bacillati; Cyanobacteriota
Description: bacterial SSU rRNA
Rfam family: Bacterial small subunit ribosomal RNA
Source: RNAcentral
GGCAACCCUGACGGAGCAACGCCGCGUGCGGGAGGAAGGCCUUAGGGUUGUAAACCGCUUUUCUCAGGGAAGAAGAUCUGACGGUACCUGAGGAAUAAGCAUCGGCUAACUCCGUGCCAGCAGCCGCGGUAAGACGGAGGAUGCAAGCGUUAUCCGGAAUUAUUGGGCGUAAAGCGUCCGCAGGCGGCUAAUUAAGUCUGCUGUCAAAGCGUGGGGCUUAACUCCAUAGAGGCAGUGGAAACUGGUUGACUAGAGUGCGGUAGGGGUCGAGGGAAUUCCCAGUGUAGCGGUGAAAUGCGUAGAUAUUGGGAAGAACACCAGUGGCGAAAGCGCUCGACUGGGCCUGCACUGACACUGAGGGACGACAGCUAGGGGAGCG